This 1528-nucleotide ribosomal RNA is filed under the name Klebsiella pneumoniae. RNAcentral describes it as "bacterial SSU rRNA". It matches the Rfam family "Bacterial small subunit ribosomal RNA". RNAcentral also lists the same sequence under 1 other name. Lineage: Bacteria; Pseudomonadati; Pseudomonadota; Gammaproteobacteria; Enterobacterales; Enterobacteriaceae. The record is from RNAcentral.
AGAGUUUGAUCAUGGCUCAGAUUGAACGCUGGCGGCAGGCCUAACACAUGCAAGUCGAGCGGUAGCACAGAGAGCUUGCUCUCGGGUGACGAGCGGCGGACGGGUGAGUAAUGUCUGGGAAACUGCCUGAUGGAGGGGGAUAACUACUGGAAACGGUAGCUAAUACCGCAUAACGUCGCAAGACCAAAGUGGGGGACCUUCGGGCCUCAUGCCAUCAGAUGUGCCCAGAUGGGAUUAGCUAGUAGGUGGGGUAACGGCUCACCUAGGCGACGAUCCCUAGCUGGUCUGAGAGGAUGACCAGCCACACUGGAACUGAGACACGGUCCAGACUCCUACGGGAGGCAGCAGUGGGGAAUAUUGCACAAUGGGCGCAAGCCUGAUGCAGCCAUGCCGCGUGUGUGAAGAAGGCCUUCGGGUUGUAAAGCACUUUCAGCGGGGAGGAAGGCGUUAAGGUUAAUAACCUCAUCGAUUGACGUUACCCGCAGAAGAAGCACCGGCUAACUCCGUGCCAGCAGCCGCGGUAAUACGGAGGGUGCAAGCGUUAAUCGGAAUUACUGGGCGUAAAGCGCACGCAGGCGGUCUGUCAAGUCGGAUGUGAAAUCCCCGGGCUCAACCUGGGAACUGCAUUCGAAACUGGCAGGCUAGAGUCUUGUAGAGGGGGGUAGAAUUCCAGGUGUAGCGGUGAAAUGCGUAGAGAUCUGGAGGAAUACCGGUGGCGAAGGCGGCCCCCUGGACAAAGACUGACGCUCAGGUGCGAAAGCGUGGGGAGCAAACAGGAUUAGAUACCCUGGUAGUCCACGCCGUAAACGAUGUCGAUUUGGAGGUUGUGCCCUUGAGGCGUGGCUUCCGGAGCUAACGCGUUAAAUCGACCGCCUGGGGAGUACGGCCGCAAGGUUAAAACUCAAAUGAAUUGACGGGGGCCCGCACAAGCGGUGGAGCAUGUGGUUUAAUUCGAUGCAACGCGAAGAACCUUACCUGGUCUUGACAUCCACAGAACUUAGCAGAGAUGCUUUGGUGCCUUCGGGAACUGUGAGACAGGUGCUGCAUGGCUGUCGUCAGCUCGUGUUGUGAAAUGUUGGGUUAAGUCCCGCAACGAGCGCAACCCUUAUCCUUUGUUGCCAGCGGUUCGGCCGGGAACUCAAAGGAGACUGCCAGUGAUAAACUGGAGGAAGGUGGGGAUGACGUCAAGUCAUCAUGGCCCUUACGACCAGGGCUACACACGUGCUACAAUGGCAUAUACAAAGAGAAGCGACCUCGCGAGAGCAAGCGGACCUCAUAAAGUAUGUCGUAGUCCGGAUUGGAGUCUGCAACUCGACUCCAUGAAGUCGGAAUCGCUAGUAAUCGUAGAUCAGAAUGCUACGGUGAAUACGUUCCCGGGCCUUGUACACACCGCCCGUCACACCAUGGGAGUGGGUUGCAAAAGAAGUAGGUAGCUUAACCUUCGGGAGGGCGCUUACCACUUUGUGAUUCAUGACUGGGGUGAAGUCGUAACAAGGUAACCGUAGGGGAACCUGCGGUUGGAUCACCU